GACGAACGUUGGCGGCGUGCUUAAUACAUGCAAGUCCACUGAAGCAGUGGUAGCAAUAUCGCUGUGGAGGUGGCGCACGGGUGAGUAACACGUAGGUAAUCUGCCUUCAGGUCUGGCAUAACUCCGGGAAACCGGGGCUAAUAGCAGAUGAUGCAGCGGCUCGACAUCGAGACAGUUGUUAAAGCUAUGGCGCCUGAAGAUGAGCCUGCGUCUGAUUAGCUAGUUGGCGGGGUAACGGCCCACCAAGGCAACGAUCAGUAGCUGGUCUGAGAGGAUGAUCAGCCACACUGGAACUGAGACACGGUCCAGACUCCUACGGGAGGCAGCAGUAAGGAAUAUUGCUCAAUGGGAGAAAUCCUGAAGCAGCAACGCCGUGUGAGGGACGAAGGGCUUUUGCUUGUAAACCUCUGUAGUGAGAGAAAAAAAUCCCAAUCUUUGGGACAUGAUGGUAUCUCAAAAGUAAGCCCCGGCUAACUACGUG
This 481-nucleotide ribosomal RNA is filed under the name uncultured bacterium. RNAcentral describes it as "partial 16S ribosomal RNA". It matches the Rfam family "Bacterial small subunit ribosomal RNA", at positions 28 to 507 of the family's 1533-position model. The record is from RNAcentral.